UACGUAGGGGGCUAGCGUUGUCCGGAAUCAUUGGGCGUAAAGCGCGCGUAGGCGGCCCGGUAAGUCCGCUGUAAAAGUCAAAGGCUUAACCUUUGAAUGUCAGUGGAUACUGCCGGGCUAGAGUCCGGAAGAGGCGAGUGGAACUCCUGGUGUAGCGGUGGAAUGCGCAGAUAUCAGGAAGAACACCGGUGGCGAAGGCGGGUCUCUGGGCCGAUACUGACGCUGAGGAGCGAAAGCGUGGGGAGCGAACAGG
Molecule: ribosomal RNA, 253 nt
Filed under: uncultured bacterium
Lineage: Bacteria
Description: partial 16S ribosomal RNA
Rfam family: Bacterial small subunit ribosomal RNA
Source: RNAcentral